AUGGAAACACCAGUUCUCAUCCAAUCACUGAAGUUAAGCAACAUUUAGCUAGGUCAGUAUCUAGAUGGGUGAACACCUGGGAAUACCAGGUGCUGGAAG
Non-coding RNA from Acanthosepion pharaonis, 99 nucleotides. NCBI's taxonomy places the organism in Eukaryota, Metazoa, Mollusca, Cephalopoda, Sepiida, Sepiidae. The record is from the annotation of a GenBank genome assembly.